AUCUUGCACUACUUCUUUGAAUUAUUCUAUGCUCUGGCUGGUGUCACCUUUGAUGGUAACGGCUUACAAAUACUCAAAUGAAAGAGAAAGAAAAAGCACAUGAGAAAAGUGAAAAGAAUACUGCAAGAGGCAAAAAUUGUAUGAAGAAGAGGAAGAAAGAACAAGAGAUGGCAAGUUCUGCAUUUCUGGCUAUGGCUCACCUUGCUUCUGUAAACAGAAGAAAAAUGUACCAGGCACCUGGCAAGUGGGACAACUGGGUUGGGCAGGGAGGAGUGGCAAUAGACAUGGAUGAGCAGAGAUUUUAAUAAUUAGUUCUCUCAACAUUCAUAUUUACCAGUUGGAUUUGACAUAGUAAAGUAAAUACAUAGUAAAGUAAAGUACAUAGUAAAGUAAAUAAUACUCAUUGUUAAUAAACCAGUCUCUUCACUAAAGCAUUAAACCAUGGUUUACCAAGCAAUUGAAUAGUCUACACAGCAUACUAAACCAAAACUAAGUAAACCAUAAAUAAACCAAGGGGGAGAAAUCAAUGUCUUGUUAACCUGCAACAAUGUGUAUUUGUCUCCAGAUGGCAUUACUACUCUGUGCUCAUAUGUUAAGUGCAAUGUCUUUCCACGUUGACAAGUCAAAUUAUUCUUUAUACCAACAACAGUUUUAACCAAUAUCAGAGAUGCAAGACUCAACUUGAGGUUCACCCCAGGCUUUGAAUGGCACAUCAAAGUUCACACACUGAAUGGGUGGAGACAGUAGAAGAAGAACUUCAAAGAUUGAAAAGAAUGCCUCAACAUCUGCAAAAUUCAAGAUUGUAUUUAAAAUUAGAGGUUGUUAUUAUUUCUUAUGUUCCUGCAGUGUACACGUGAGCAUGCAAAUACUCAGCAUUCUCCAAAUUCUUGAGCUUGGCAACUGGACUCCUCAUGAUUCUUGGAAUAACAUACUUCCUAUCAACAUACUUCGAAAUUAUGAAAUGUUUCCGAUGAGUCCUAUAAUGGUACAUGGGAAGACAGAAACUACAGAUGUAAAAGCUGGAAGGAGUAGCAAGUCAUAAGGCAGCUGAUGCCAGCAAGUUCUUCCCUAUGCAUUGAGUACUGGUAGAAAGAUGAGUACCAGGAAAAGAUUUUUGCUUCAAAAUGCAUCGAGUACCAAAUUCAACAAGUUUUAAAGCAGUUGAAUACCGAGAGAAAGAAGAUUAGUGCCUACAAGCCUUGUUGUAUUCCCAGAAGCAAAUGAAAGUCACCUGAAGAUACUGGAUUUCAUGGCCUUUUAAUCUGAUCCAGCAGGGAACUUCUUAAAGUAACCACAAUUGCUGCAAUCUCAGUUGCUUUUAUUUUUAUUUUUCAAUUUACUUUUAAAUUGCCAAACUUCACACUGAUUUGUUCAACUGAUAUUCUGAAGGUUUUAAACUUUGUUUGAUGGCAUUGUGAUAAUUCUGUCCCUCCUCUCCCAAUCCCCUUCUCAUGAUCAUAAAAAAUUGA
Ahaetulla prasina is the source of this 1469-nucleotide long non-coding RNA. RefSeq lists it as uncharacterized. The record is from RefSeq and is a predicted model, not a curated record. NCBI's taxonomy places the organism in Eukaryota, Metazoa, Chordata, Lepidosauria, Squamata, Colubridae. The transcript is spliced from 5 exons.